UGGGGAAUCUUAGGCAAUGGGCGCAAGCCUGAUCUAGCCAUGCCGCGUGAGCGAUGAAGGCCUUAGGGUUGUAAAGCUCUUUCAGUGGGGAAGAUAAUGACUGUACCCACAGAAGAAGCCCCGGCUAACUCCGUGCCAGCAGCCGCGGUAAUACGAAGGGGGCUAGCGUUGCUCGGAAUUACUGGGCGUAAAGGGAGCGUAGGCGGACAUUUAAGUCAGGGGUGAAAUCCCGGGGCUCAACCUCGGAACUGCCUUCUAAACUCCUGGUCUUGAGUUCGAGAGAGGUGAGUGGAAUUCCGAGUGUAGAGGUGAAAUUCGUAGAUAUUCGGAGGAACACCAGUGGCGAAGGCGGCUCACUGGCUCGAUACUGACGCUGAGGUGCGAAAGCGCGGGGAGCAAACA
Molecule: ribosomal RNA, 402 nt
Filed under: uncultured bacterium
Lineage: Bacteria
Description: bacterial SSU rRNA
Rfam family: Bacterial small subunit ribosomal RNA
Source: RNAcentral